UCACCAUUAACGACAACAACGUCUCCACGGAUCAGCCAUCAACUCACGUCACUCCCUGACGCUGCCAGUCUUGGUCCUCAUACCCUCACCCACGCGCCUCCUUCUGCUUUCAGUCCUUUAGAUUCCUUGUCAACAAAUAAAUCUUUCUCCCUUCUAUUACGACGGAUGAUUGGAAACUGCUUGUGGUGCACUCCCCCACCCCACCUUGCUAGGUCACGUCAAGGCCGGACAACCACAGAUUCUCCAUCCUCCUUCGUCGAAUG
RNAcentral lists this long non-coding RNA (263 nucleotides) under Elaeis guineensis (African oil palm). RNAcentral's name for it is "long non-coding RNA (EGUI_LNC003344)". The record is from RNAcentral. Lineage: Eukaryota; Viridiplantae; Streptophyta; Magnoliopsida; Arecales; Arecaceae.